This 497-nucleotide ribosomal RNA is filed under the name uncultured bacterium. RNAcentral's name for it is "partial 16S ribosomal RNA". It matches the Rfam family "Bacterial small subunit ribosomal RNA", at positions 28 to 507 of the family's 1533-position model. The record is from RNAcentral.
GAUGAACGCUGGCGGCGUGCCUAAUACAUGCAAGUCGAGCGAACAGACGAGGAGCUUGCUCCUCUGACGUUAGCGGCGGACGGGUGAGUAACACGUGGAUAACCAACCUAUAAGACUGGGAUAACUUCGGGAAACCGGAGCUAAUACCGGAUAAUAUAUUGAACCGCAUGGUUCAAUAGUGAAAGACGGUUUUGCUGUCACUUAUAGAUGGAUCCGCGCCGCAUUAGCUAGUUGGUAAGGUAACGGCUUACCAAGGCAACGAUGCGUAGCCGACCUGAGAGGGUGAUCGGCCACACUGGAACUGCGACACGGUCCAGACUCCUACGGGAGGCAGCAGUAGGGAAUCUUCCGCAAUGGGCGAAAGCCUGACGGAGCAACGCCGCGUGAGUGAUGAAGGUCUUCGGAUCGUAAAACUCUGUUAUUAGGGAAGAACAAAUGUGUAAGUAACUAUGCACGUCUUGACGGUACCUAAUCAGAAAGCCACGGCUAACUACGUG